UUCUGGCUCAGGAUGAACGCUAGCGUACAGGCUUAACACAUGCAAGUCGAGGGGCAGCAGAUCGAAAGCUUGCUUUGAUGCUGGCGACCGGCGCACGGGUGAGUAACGCGUAUCCAACCUUCCCUAUAGUAGAGAAUAGCCCGGCGAAAGUCGGAUUAAUGCUCUAUGUUGUAUUUAGAAGACAUCUGAAGAAUACCAAAGGUUUACCGCUAUAGGAUGGGGAUGCGUCUGAUUAGGUUGUUGGCGGGGUAACGGCCCACCAAGCCCACGAUCAGUAGGGGUUCUGAGAGGAAGGUCCCCCACAUUGGAACUGAGACACGGUCCAAACUCCUACGGGAGGCAGCAGUGAGGAAUAUUGGUCAAUGGACGAAAGUCUGAACCAGCCAAGUAGCCGUGCAGGAUGACGGCCCUAUGGGUUGUAAACUGCUUUUAUACAGGGAUAAAGUGAGGGACGUGUCCCUUUUUGUAGGUACUGUAUGAAUAAGGACCGGCUAAUUCCGUGCCAGCCGCCGC
RNAcentral lists this ribosomal RNA (513 nucleotides) under uncultured bacterium. RNAcentral describes it as "bacterial SSU rRNA". It matches the Rfam family "Bacterial small subunit ribosomal RNA", at positions 17 to 518 of the family's 1533-position model. The record is from RNAcentral.